AGCGAACGUUUGCGGCGGGCCUAACACAUGCAAGUCGAACGCACUAGCAAUAGUGAGUGGCGCACGGGUGCGUAACACGUGGGUAAUCAACCCUUCAGCUUGGGAUAACGACUUGAAAGGGUCGCUAAUACCGGAUACGGCGCGGGAGGCUUCGGCUUCUCACGAGAAAGCCUCGCAAGGGGCACUGAAGGACGAGCCUGCGGCCCAUCAGCUAGUUGGUGAGGUAAGAGCUCACCAAGGCGAAGACGGGUAGCUGGUCUGAGAGGAUGAUCAGCCACACUGGAACUGAGACACGGUCCAGACUCCUACGGGAGGCAGCAGUGGGGAAUAUUGCGCAAUGGGCGAAAGCCUGACGCAGCCACGCCGCGUGAGCGACGAAGGCCUUCGGGUCGUAAAGCUCUGUGGGGAGAGACGAAGAAAGCCCGUGAAGAGACGGGCCUUGACGGUAUCUCCUUAGCAAGCACCGGCUAACUCCGUGCCAGCAGCCGCGGUAAU
This 495-nucleotide ribosomal RNA is filed under the name uncultured bacterium. RNAcentral describes it as "bacterial SSU rRNA". It matches the Rfam family "Bacterial small subunit ribosomal RNA", at positions 29 to 524 of the family's 1533-position model. The record is from RNAcentral.